This 452-nucleotide long non-coding RNA is filed under the name Laticauda laticaudata (blue-ringed sea krait). Its description in RNAcentral is "lncRNA (ENSLLTG00000015055.1)". The record is from RNAcentral. Lineage: Eukaryota; Metazoa; Chordata; Lepidosauria; Squamata; Elapidae.
ACUUCUGAAUUUAAAAAGCAAAUUAUUUGAGAAAAAAGGCUAGCAAUGAUAAGCCUUUGGUUUUAGAAGCUGAACUGAACUUGAAUUCAGAUGGGCAGAAGUGAAAGAGGUGAACUGGGUAGCUCUGCUUGAACCAGUAGAAGCAAGAAAGCAUUUUUAGACAAAAUAUGGAAAGCAUUCUCACCAUGGACUUUGAACACUGCUAUUCAAGGCCUCUGGUCAAUUUUUAACAACGAUGUUAAACCCUGAGAUGUGCUGUUAUUUGUAUAUCUUCUUUGCUCUCUAGUGAACAAUGUCUAGCCAACUGAGCCACAGGGUUGUCAGGUAAGAAACAUGAUUUUAACAUGGUUUCGGGGUAGUUCAUUGUGAUUGUAUCAAAUGUGUUGCAGUAUUGUGAACUAGGCUGGCACUUUUUCUACAUGUGUCAUGGCUUGCUAAAGGUGGCACAAGUC